Molecule: long non-coding RNA, 422 nt
Filed under: Coturnix japonica (Japanese quail)
Lineage: Eukaryota; Metazoa; Chordata; Aves; Galliformes; Phasianidae
Description: lncRNA (ENSCJPG00005016053.1)
Source: RNAcentral
UACGUCAUUAGAGCUCGCUACAAUCUUGGCACCACUAGAUUGUACUGAUGUUAUUUUUGUCCUGAUAACUAGGGCCAAGGAGAGCUGUGGCACAAUCCUGAUCAUACUGAUACUGGUGGCAGGUCACCAAUCAACCAGAAUGUGAGGGAAAUGUUUGUUACCCACAAGCAAGCAGCAGAAAGAGGAAAAGUGCAGCAACUCCCAUCCCGCUGUACACUAUUUUCACAGGACCAGUUCAAUCAGAUUUUCAAAAGGAAGGAACAGGAGAAAAUAAAACCCACAAAACUGGGAGACUGGAAUAGAAGAGGAUCGACACAAAUGACCUGAAAGUCCCUUAAAACCCUGGCUUCAUAUUCUUAUAUAAAGUAAUAUGAGCACAUCCUGUUUUUCCUGGCUUGUCUUCUAUCAGUAAAUAAAUCACA